This 285-nucleotide long non-coding RNA is filed under the name Ananas comosus (pineapple). RNAcentral describes it as "long non-coding RNA (ACOM_LNC043389)". Lineage: Eukaryota; Viridiplantae; Streptophyta; Magnoliopsida; Poales; Bromeliaceae. The record is from RNAcentral.
AAAACCCACGGGACCAACACGCGAAAAAAUAAUUCACUAAGAGAAAAGAUUACAAGGUGAUUACCGACUCCACGGACUCUACCUCUCUUAACCUCCUAUGAAUCUUCGCGCUACCCUCCGAGUUGUCCACGCCCUCACGUCCGAAUCCACGAACGCCUCUACUUCGAAUCCACGAAGCUUCAAUCACGCCGAAUCCACGACGCCACUCGAAUCCACGAGCCCACGAUCCGAAUCCACGAACCGCCGUCAAAUACGCCGAAUCCACGACGCCACCAUGAAGAAUAU